GGUCGCGAAGCCGCGAGGUGGAGCUAAUCCCAUAAAACUAUUCUCAGUUCGGAUUGUAGGCUGCAACUCGCCUACAUGAAGCCGGAAUCGCUAGUAAUCGUGGAUCAGCAUGCCACGGUGAAUACGUUCCCGGGCCUUGUACACACCGCCCGUCACACCACGAGAGUUUGUAACACCCGAAGUCGGUAGGGUAACCUUUAUGGAGCCAGCCGCCGAAGGUGGGACAGAUAAUUGGGGUGAAGUCGUAACAAGGUAGCCGUAUCGGAAGGUGCGGCUGGAUCACCUCCUUU
This 290-nucleotide ribosomal RNA is filed under the name Listeria monocytogenes. RNAcentral describes it as "partial 16S ribosomal RNA". It matches the Rfam family "Bacterial small subunit ribosomal RNA", at positions 1245 to 1533 of the family's 1533-position model. Lineage: Bacteria; Bacillati; Bacillota; Bacilli; Caryophanales; Listeriaceae. The record is from RNAcentral.